AAAUCCUUUUGCUGCAGGAUUAUUUCGCUGCAACCAUACUGGAUAAUUAAGAUCUUACAUCUGUACAUCUACAGUAUAUGUUUAAUUUGUAAUAUUAGACAAUGUGCAAAAUGUUUCCUCUUUUAGGAACUUGACCAUAAUAUGUGUUUUAUUUACAGGGCAAGAAGAGCCUGUUAACCCAAAGGUUUUUGAGAUUGUAGGAAAAACCGUUGGGUUGCUUUUCCUUUUCAGCCUGAUCGUAUUCUUUGCAUGGAGGAGGAGAACAUCUAGACUCCCCAGUGGGUUUGACAUGACAGACCGUUCACAGGGACAGAACUCCCCAGUUGGGACAGUAUGCUCCAACCAGGCCAGGGUCAGGAGUGGGAACCAGGAACCACCCCAUAUCAACCUUGAUGGGCUUUAUGCCAACGGGAAUUAAGUGUUUUAUGUACAGUAUAUCAUUGUGUAUCUGUUUUCUGUUGGUGCGUUUGUUACAUUUAUAAUUGUGUGCUCUUUGAUUAUCUGCAUUUUUGGACCUUUAUUUUGGACCAUUUAUUUUGAAUGUUGCGUUCAGAGCAUCCGUUUAAUGGGUUCCAGUAUAAAGGAACUGCUGAGUUCAACUAGCCUACUGAAGGCAGUAAGACCUGAAAAUGACUGUCUAGGAAUGAUCAACAACCAACUUGAUAGAUCUUGAUGAAUUUUUAAAAAGAAUUAUGUGCAAAUAUUGUACAAUCCAGGUGUGCAAAGCUCUUAGACUUACCCUGAAAGACUCACAGCUGUAACAUACAUUGAC
This is a non-coding RNA of Salmo salar (Atlantic salmon), 772 nucleotides long. The record is from RefSeq and is a predicted model, not a curated record. NCBI's taxonomy places the organism in Eukaryota, Metazoa, Chordata, Actinopteri, Salmoniformes, Salmonidae.